This 731-nucleotide long non-coding RNA is filed under the name Lathyrus oleraceus (garden pea). RNAcentral describes it as "Pisum sativum (pea) long non-coding RNA (PSAT_LNC025077)". Lineage: Eukaryota; Viridiplantae; Streptophyta; Magnoliopsida; Fabales; Fabaceae. The record is from RNAcentral.
UAUUUUAUCCUAUUCUAGUAACCCUAGUUUUAGCUUAUAAAUAGGGUGGAAAUCAUUGUAACUUUUAUCAUGUUUCGUAGCCGUCAUUCUCUUAAUAGAAUAUUUCCGUUCAUCAUUUAUUCUACCUUUGCACCAACAGUUAAUAGAUUCAAUAAAUUUUGUGAGGGGCAACCACACAUAGAUUUUGAGACCAGUCCAUCAUUUGUCCCGUCACACCUACCUCGUGUCAGUCGCUUAAAUAAAUGUGAUAACAUUUGUGAAGGACACCCCGGCUAAAUAUUUCCAUUACGUUUGCGAGGGGCACCCCUAACCAUAUAUUUUCUACACACUGUCCCAUCACCUGAGCGCUUGUCGGCCGCUUUAUUAAAAUAAAUGCAAUUUGUGAGGGAUUGUCCCUAGCUAAUUAUGACAUUUAAUUAGUGUAGGGUGCCCCCUCACGAAAUAUUUCCAUAUAUUUGCACCACACUUUCUAUUUUCACAUUCGACUAUCUCUUUCUCUUUCUCUAGUUUUUCAUUUCUCCCAAAUUCACUCGAUUAACUUCACUCUUCCACCUUCAAACUCAGAUUUUUCAUCAAAAAAUCUUCAACAAACUUGUCUUUUGAAAGAUAGUUCUAUAACUUUUUUAUUUUUUUUCUUUUUUUUCUUCUAAUUUUCGGAAUAUACGAAAUCCCUAAUUUUAAUUUAUUUUGUUCAUUUUCUAUUUAUUUUUUUAUAAAGGUUUUAACUUUUG